AGAGUUUGAUCCUGGCUCAGAACGAACGUUGGCGGCGUGGAUUAGGCAUGCAAGUCGAAUGAAUCCCACUUGUGUAGUAAUACAUGAGUGGGGGAAAUGGCGAAAGGGGCAGUAAGGCAUGGGUAACCUACCUCUGGGACGGGAAUAGCCUUUCUAACGAAAGGGUAAUACCCGGCGAGCUGAUCGGGAGGCAUCUUCUGGUCAGGAAAUGAGUUUCGCCUGGAGAGGGGCUCAUGUGAUAUUAGCUAGUUGGUGAGGUAAUGGCUCACCAAGGCAAAGAUGUCUAGCGGGUGUGAGAGCACGACCCGCGCCACUGGCACUGAGACACUGGCCAGACUCCUACGGGAGGCUGCAGUCGAGGAUCUUCGGCAAUGGGCGCAAGCCUGACCGAGCGACGCCGCGUGUGCGAUGAAGGCCUUCGGGUUGUAAAGCACUGUCGAGGGGGAGGAAGCUCCGCAAGGGGUUGACCUAUCCCUGGAGGAAGCACGGGCUAAGUUCGUGCCAGCAGCCGCGGUAAGACGAACCGUGCGAACGUUGUUCGGAAUCACUGGGCUUAAAGGGCGCGUAGGCGGGCUGUAAAGUCAGUGGUGAAAUCCUUCAGCUCAACUGGAGAAGUGCCGCUGAUACUGACAGUCUCGAGGGAGGUAGGGGUCGAUGGAACUAAUGGUGGAGCGGUGAAAUGCGUAGAUAUCAUUAGGAACGCCGGUGGCGAAAGCGAUCGACUGGACCUCUUCUGACGCUGAGGCGCGAAAGCCAGGGGAGCAAACGGGAUUAGAUACCCCGGUAGUCCUGGCCCUAAACGAUGGGUACCAGAUUGUGGACUUAACAUGGGUUCACAGUCGAGGCAAAAGUGCUAAGUACCCCGCCUGGGGAGUAUGGUCGCAAGGCUGAAACUCAAAGGAAUUGACGGGGGCUCACACAAGCGGUGGAGCAUGUGGCUUAAUUCGAGGCUACGCGAAGAACCUUAUCCUGGACUUGACAUGUGCGAAAGCGUUGGGAAGUAGAAAGUGGAAACACCUACGAACGGUAUCCAGUCCGGAACCCAAUACAGGUGCUGCAUGGCUGUCGUCAGCUCGUGUCGUGAGAUGUCGGGUUAAGUCCCAUAACGAGCGAAACCCCUGUCCUUAGUUGCCAGCACGUCAUGGUGGGUACUCUAGGGAGACUGCCGGUGUUAAACCGGAGGAAGGUGGGGAUGACGUCAAGUCCUCAUGGCCUUUACGUCCAGGGCUGCACACGUGCUACAAUGGUGUAUACAGAGGGAAGCCAACGCGCGAGCGGGAGCAAAUCUCAAAAAAUACACCCCAGUUCAGAUCGAAGGCUGCAACUCGCCUUCGUGAAGUUGGAAUCGCUAGUAAUCGCAGGUCAGCAACACUGCGGUGAAUGUGUUCCUGAGCCUUGUACACACCGCCCGUCAAGCCACGAAAGGAAGGGGGAGACAACGUCGCUGUGCUAACCGUAAGGAGGCAGGCGCCUAAUCUCCAACUUCUGAUUGGGACUAAGUCGUAACAAGGUAACC
Molecule: ribosomal RNA, 1516 nt
Filed under: uncultured bacterium
Lineage: Bacteria
Description: bacterial SSU rRNA
Rfam family: Bacterial small subunit ribosomal RNA
Source: RNAcentral